RNAcentral lists this long non-coding RNA (214 nucleotides) under Lathyrus oleraceus (garden pea). Its description in RNAcentral is "Pisum sativum (pea) long non-coding RNA (PSAT_LNC041999)". The record is from RNAcentral. Lineage: Eukaryota; Viridiplantae; Streptophyta; Magnoliopsida; Fabales; Fabaceae.
GCUUUUCAAUGAUAUCAUUAAUAAAGGACGUUUUGCAAACAAUUUUGCGAUCCUUGUCUUUCUGUUUUUUUUUCACUUUCAAAACAAUAAAAAAUGGCAAUGUUUUUUGUUUUUUGUGACUUUCUUGAACCCUUUUUCUAAAAUAAAGCAUUAAACAUGCAUAAUCGAUCUUACGGACUCCACUAUAAACAGUUCUGUUAUGGCUCAGUAUGAU